GGGGGUGCACUGGUUUCGACGGGGAUGUUGAGCAUAAGUAAGCGAGCCGUGUUUUUUGAAUCUGGGGUACACGUAAAAGAACUGGGUUCAUAAUUUAAACGCUAAAAAUAAUUACGCUUUCGCAGCUUAAUUAAGCUGCAGUCCGCCUUCUCGUUAUAGGACCUGGUCACUGUCUCCUGAGAAGUGCCGACUCACACAACCUUUACAGUGAACAAAGCUGGCGCUCGUCUCGACGCCAGGGGGUAACUCAGAGACUUGCUCCUACACUCUGCUAGUCACGGAGUUAGUGUAGGAGGACAAUUUAUACGUGAAUGCGCUCGGAGAAAGCUUAUGUAUUGCAUGUUCGGACGUGGGUUCGAUUCCCACCACUUCCACCA
Molecule: transfer-messenger RNA, 377 nt
Filed under: Fusibacter sp. A1
Lineage: Bacteria; Bacillati; Bacillota; Clostridia; Eubacteriales; Fusibacteraceae
Also listed under: 3 other names
Rfam family: transfer-messenger RNA
About the family: Bacterial tmRNA, also known as 10Sa RNA or SsrA, is named for its dual tRNA and mRNA-like properties. Its role is to liberate the mRNA from a stalled ribosome.
Source: Rfam by way of RNAcentral